ACACCACAUGUGGAUUUUGAUGUACCAGUCAAAGUGCAGGUGCAGCACCAGUUUGAAUUUGAAUACCAGACCAAAGUGGAUGGUGAAAUAAUCCUUCAUCUUUAUGACAAAGGAGGAAUUGAGCAAACAAUUUGUAUGUUGGAUGGUGUGUUUGCAUUUGUUUUACUGGAUUCUGCCAAUAAGAAAGUGUCCCUGGACAGAGAUACAUAAGGAGUCAGACCUUUGUUUAAAGCAGUGACAGAAGAUGGAUUUUUGGCUGUGUGUUCAGAAGCUAAAGUUCUGGAGGCCACAAGUCCAAAAUCAAGGUGUGGGCAGAAAUGCGCUCCCUCUGCAGUCUCUUGGGGAGGAUGCUUGUUUCUUCCAGCUUUGCGACUGUGGUGCCUGCCGCCAUUGGAACCAGCUCUGCACGGCUCAGACCUGGGUGAUGAGGACACAGCUUUGCAGGUGGGCAGCCACAUCCCCAGGGGGAGACUGUG
RNAcentral lists this long non-coding RNA (476 nucleotides) under Homo sapiens (human). RNAcentral's name for it is "HSALNT0409320". Lineage: Eukaryota; Metazoa; Chordata; Mammalia; Primates; Hominidae. The record is from RNAcentral.